AGCGAACGCUGGCGGCGUGCCUAACACAUGCAAGUCGAACGUGAAAGGGAGUAAUCCCCCGUAAAGUGGCGUACGGGUGAGUAACACGUAGGUAAUCUACCCCAGAAUCUGGAAUAACCGGCCGAAAGGCUGGCUAAUACUGGAUAGAGCGACGGAAUCCGUAAUUGGGUUUUUCGGGAAAGGGAGCCUGUAAAAAGGCCUUCGUUCUGGGAUGAGCCUGCGUCCCAUCAGCUAGUUGGUGAGGUAAAAGCUUACCAAGGCAAUGACGGGUAGCUGGUCUGAGAGGACGAUCAGCCACACUGGAACUGAAACACGGUCCAGACUCCUACGGGAGGCAGCAGUGGGGAAUCUUGCGCAAUGGACGAAAGUCUGACGCAGCAACGCCGCGUGAGUGAAGAAGGCCUUCGGGUUGUAAAGCUCUGUCGAGUGGGACGAAAAUGCUUGGAGUUCACAGCUCCAGGAACUGACGGUACCACUAAAGGAAGCACCGGCUAACUCCGUG
RNAcentral lists this ribosomal RNA (502 nucleotides) under uncultured bacterium. RNAcentral describes it as "partial 16S ribosomal RNA". It matches the Rfam family "Bacterial small subunit ribosomal RNA", at positions 29 to 507 of the family's 1533-position model. The record is from RNAcentral.